RNAcentral lists this ribosomal RNA (207 nucleotides) under uncultured bacterium. Its description in RNAcentral is "partial 16S ribosomal RNA". It matches the Rfam family "Bacterial small subunit ribosomal RNA", at positions 568 to 774 of the family's 1533-position model. The record is from RNAcentral.
CACGUAGGCGGAUCUUUAAGUCAGGGGUGAAAUCCUGGAGCUCAACUCCAGAACUGCCUUUGAUACUGGGGAUCUCGAGUCCGGGAGAGGUGAGUGGAACUGCGAGUGUAGAGGUGAAAUUCGUAGAUAUUCGCAAGAACACCAGAGGCGAAGGCGGCUCACUGGCCCGGUACUGACGCUGAGGUGCGAAAGCGUGGGGAGCAAACA